CCGCCCAACUCCCCCAACUCGCUAGCGAACAGAUCUUCGUUCUUCCUCAGGAGUUGCUCUAGACCCUCCCUGAUGUUCUGUGGGAGGUUCUUUCCUACUCGUACUUCGUCCCGCCCGAGGGCCACUUGGGUCGUGUGAGAUGCCGGUUCGGGUCUUGCCGUGCGUUCCCGCAUCGAGUGGGGUAGGCCUUCGUCCGACGUCAUUACUUCACCGACCGAAUUGAAGUAGCAUUCGCGCG
Molecule: long non-coding RNA, 238 nt
Filed under: Zostera marina
Lineage: Eukaryota; Viridiplantae; Streptophyta; Magnoliopsida; Alismatales; Zosteraceae
Description: long non-coding RNA (ZMAR_LNC005101)
Source: RNAcentral